This 106-nucleotide microRNA precursor is filed under the name Marmota monax (woodchuck). Lineage: Eukaryota; Metazoa; Chordata; Mammalia; Rodentia; Sciuridae. The record is from RNAcentral.
AAUGGGAUGGUUGGGUCACAUAUGGUGGUUCCAUUCCCAUUUUUUUUGAGGAAUCUCCAUAUUGCUUUUCAAAGUGGUUGUACCAAUUUGCAAUCCUACCAACAGU